This 69-nucleotide transfer RNA is filed under the name Heterocephalus glaber (naked mole-rat). It matches the Rfam family "tRNA". From Rfam's summary of the family: Transfer RNA (tRNA) molecules are approximately 80 nucleotides in length. The record is from Rfam by way of RNAcentral. Lineage: Eukaryota; Metazoa; Chordata; Mammalia; Rodentia; Bathyergidae.
GGCGAUGUAGCUUAGUGGCAAAGUACCUGCCUGGCAUCUGCAGGAUGCUGGGUUUGAUCCCCAGCACCA